GAUUUUGAUGGGUUGGUCCCUGGUACAGAGAACUUCAAGAGGCCUCUCUCCGGGGCUGAUUGCACUGUGUACUCUCCAAUGAAGAAAAGAACCCCAGGGUACUCCACCAAAUUUCUUGCUGGAACAGAAUUUCCUCAGUCAACAGAGGGACAAAAUCUUGGUCAGUCUUGCUCUAAAUUCCAUGAUGCAACAAUUACAAGAGUCAUGC
This 208-nucleotide unclassified non-coding RNA is filed under the name Hevea brasiliensis (rubber tree). Lineage: Eukaryota; Viridiplantae; Streptophyta; Magnoliopsida; Malpighiales; Euphorbiaceae. The record is from RNAcentral.